CCUACGGGUGGCAGCAGUGGGGAAUAUUGCACAAUGGGCGGAACCCUGAUGCAGCGACGCCGCGUGAGUGAAGAAGUAUUUCGGUAUGUAAAGCUCUAUCAGCAGGGAAGAAAAUGACGGUACCUGUCUAAGAAGCCCCGGCUAACUACGUGCCAGCAGCCGCGGGAAUACGUAGGGGGCAAGCGUUAUCUGGAUGUACUGGGUGUAAAGUGAACGCAGACGGCUGUGCGAGUCUGGUGUGAAAGGCGGGGGCUCAACCCCCGGACUGCUCGGGAUACUGGAAAGCUGGAGUGCAGGAGAGGGGAGCAGAAUUCCAGGUGUAGCGGUGAAAUGCGUAGAGAUGUGGAGGAAUACCAGUGGCGAAGGCGGCCUCCUGGACUGAGACUGACGUUGAGGCGCGAAAGCGUGGGGAGCAAACAGGAUUAGAUACCCGUGUAGUC
This 440-nucleotide ribosomal RNA is filed under the name uncultured bacterium. RNAcentral describes it as "partial 16S ribosomal RNA". It matches the Rfam family "Bacterial small subunit ribosomal RNA", at positions 338 to 795 of the family's 1533-position model. The record is from RNAcentral.